GAGUUUGAUCAUGGCUCAGGAUGAACGCUGGCGGCGUGCUUAACACAUGCAAGUCGAACGAACCUUCGGGUUAGUGGCGGACGGGUGAGUAACGCGUGGGAAUCUGCCCUCAGGAGGGGGAUAACGGUUGGAAACGACCGCUAAUACCCCAUAUGCCGAGAGGUGAAAUGAAUUUCGCCUGAGGAUGAGCCCGCGUCUGAUUAGCUUGUUGGUGAGGUAAUGGCUCACCAAGGCUUCGAUCAGUAGCUGGUCUGAGAGGAUGAUCAGCCACACUGGGACUGAGACACGGCCCAGACUCCUACGGGAGGCAGCAGUGGGGAAUUUUCCGCAAUGGACGAAAGUCUGACGGAGCAACGCCGCGUGAGGGACGAAGGCCUCUGGGCUGUAAACCUCUUUUCUCAAGGAAGAAGAUAUGACGGUACUUGAGGAAUAAGCCACGGCUAAUUCCGUGCCAGCAGCCGCGGUAAUACGGGAGUGGCAAGCGUUAUCCGGAAUUAUUGGGCGUAAAGCGUCCGCAGGCGGCCUUUCAAGUCUGCUGUUAAAACGUGGAGCUCAACUCCAUCAUGGCAGUGGAAACUGAUAGGCUUGAGUAUGGUAGGGGCAGAGGGAAUUCCCGGUGUAGCGGUGAAAUGCGUAGAUAUCGGGAAGAACACCAGUGGCGAAGGCGCUCUGCUGGGCCAUUACUGACGCUCAUGGACGAAAGCCAGGGGAGCGAAAGGGAUUAGAUACCCCUGUAGUCCUGGCCGUAAACGAUGAACACUAGGUGUCGGGGGAAUCGACCCCUUCGGUGUCGUAGCUAACGCGUUAAGUGUUCCGCCUGGGGAGUACGCACGCAAGUGUGAAACUCAAAGGAAUUGACGGGGGCCCGCACAAGCGGUGGAGUAUGUGGUUUAAUUCGAUGCAACGCGAAGAACCUUACCAGGGCUUGACAUCCUGCGAACCUUUAAGAAAUUAGAGGGUGCCUUCGGGAACGCAGUGACAGGUGGUGCAUGGCUGUCGUCAGCUCGUGUCGUGAGAUGUUGGGUUAAGUCCCGCAACGAGCGCAACCCACGUUUUUAGUUGCCAGCAUUUAGUUGGGCACUCUAGAAAGACCGCCGGUGAUAAACCGGAGGAAGGUGUGGAUGACGUCAAGUCAUCAUGCCCCUUACGUCCUGGGCUACACACGUACUACAAUGCUACGGACAAAGGGCAGCAAACUCGCGAGAGCUAGCAAAUCCCAUAAACCGUGGCUCAGUUCAGAUCGUAGGCUGCAACUCGCCUACGUGAAGUAGGAAUCGCUAGUAAUCGCAGGUCAGCAUACUGCGGUGAAUACGUUCCCGGGCCUUGUACACACCGCCCGUCACACCAUGGAAGUUGGCCACGCCCGAAGUCGUUACUUUAACCCUUGUGGAGAAGGACGCCGAAGGUGGGGCUGAUGACUGGGGUGAAGUCGUAACAAGGUAACC
Molecule: ribosomal RNA, 1445 nt
Filed under: uncultured marine cyanobacterium
Lineage: Bacteria; Bacillati; Cyanobacteriota
Description: bacterial SSU rRNA
Rfam family: Bacterial small subunit ribosomal RNA
Source: RNAcentral